GACGAACGCUGGCGGCGUGCUUAACACAUGCAAGUCGAACGGAAAGGCCCUGCUUUUGUGGGGUGCUCGAGUGGCGAACGGGUGAGUAACACGUGAGUAACCUGCCCUUGACUUUGGGAUAACUUCAGGAAACUGGGGCUAAUACCGGAUAGGAGCUCCUGCUGCAUGGUGGGGGUUGGAAAGUUUCGGCGGUUGGGGAUGGACUCGCGGCUUAUCAGCUUGUUGGUGGGGUAGUGGCUUACCAAGGCUUUGACGGGUAGCCGGCCUGAGAGGGUGACCGGCCACCUUGGGACUGAGAUACGGCCCAGUCUCCUACGGGAGGCAGCAGUGGGGAAUAUUGCACAAUGGGCGGAAGCCUGAUGCAGCAACGCCGCGUGCGGGAUGACGGCCUUCGGGGUGUAAACCGCUUUCGCCUGUGACGAAGCGUGAGUGACGGUAAUGGGUAAAGAAGCACCGGCUAACUACGUG
This 468-nucleotide ribosomal RNA is filed under the name uncultured bacterium. RNAcentral describes it as "partial 16S ribosomal RNA". It matches the Rfam family "Bacterial small subunit ribosomal RNA", at positions 28 to 507 of the family's 1533-position model. The record is from RNAcentral.